Long non-coding RNA from Felis catus (domestic cat), 1547 nucleotides. RefSeq lists it as uncharacterized. The record is from RefSeq and is a predicted model, not a curated record. The transcript has 3 exons. NCBI's taxonomy places the organism in Eukaryota, Metazoa, Chordata, Mammalia, Carnivora, Felidae.
GGCUGGCUUUCACCACCAGGAUGCUAGAUUAUUGUCCCAUAAAACAGUUCAACAGGACUGUUAUUGGCAAUAUGUAGUGUCCUUGGAAUCCAUUUUAACUUGAGUGUAUAAAAGUAAGUUACAAGGCAAAGUGAUUACGUACCAGAAAAAGAAAUGUGCAGAAAUACUACACGCACUGGGUCCCCAAGUGGAAAGCAGAUUCCUAAAAUGUGAUGGGGAUAUUUGCAGUAUUAAAUGUUUCCUGGUUUCCUGCAGUCUCCGGAGGCCAGAGUCAACCGGCAAAUCUCAGGUGCCUCGUGCUCCGUGCAUCCAUUUUCCUUACCUCCAGCCACGCGUGCUCAUGAGGCCCCAUCAUUUUCUGUGAUUUGGUGGCGUUCCCUUGCUGAUGGGGCACAGCUGGCCAACAAGGCCUGUUUCCCGGUGGGAAAGCUCACUCUAGUUCCGACCUUCCCUGCCCCAUCCGGAACAGCUGCAUCCAUUUCUCCCCUGCCUGCGUUCUCUCUCCCAAGCCGUCUACGCAAGCAAGUGGGGGUACAUCUGGCCAGCGUUGGUGGAGGGCUUACCGUGGGACAGUCCUCCUGCUAUGUUCUCGGCCUAAACCGCCGUUUUUAAUACUCAUGGCCACCCCAUGAGAGAGGCGUUGCCAUGAUCCUAACUUCAGUCUUCAAGAAAGCAGAAGUGGGGAGUAAGGGGCAAAUUAACCUGCGGACCUGACACCUGUAGUAAAGGUCAGGGGCUGCAGUUCAGACUUGGGAAGCUUCCGUGUCAAGCAGGAGGGGCCUUCCAGGGGGCUCUCUUUGGUUCCCCAGAAGGGAGUCCAGUACCUGACAAACCACUGCCCGGACUGCGGAAACUGGGUGACUGCCGCUCAGGUCGAUGACCUACUGUUGGUGCUGACAUACUUCUUCAUCAACGGCUCGGGGACCUGGGGAAGGUUGUUGGAGAGUCCACGGGUAUAAAAGGAAGUCCCUGAACGCAGACUCCCUCGGGACCCUGCCUCCACCUCCAGCCGCAGAGAAGAGGGACCCCACGCUUCAGAGGGCGCCUGUCUCUGCAGGAAAGGAAGCCGCCCUAGGACUAUUUCCCACGAGCAGUGCCUUUGUGAACCCCGGAGCAACGUGCUCUUCCUGCCUGUCCCUGACCUCCUCAACAGCAUCGUGGCAUGUGUGCCGAGAAGGGACAUCCCUCACAGGCUGUGUCUGUCCCGAGGCUAUAUGCUCAGAGGCCAACAUCCCGAAGAGGAGGAGGGCAAGGGCACUCCUGGAGAAGAGGAGUGUUGGAGAUGACUCUCACCUUCAUGGCAGAGCUCUGUGUCAGGGUCUGAAUGACAACACUGGCUGGGAACCUACACAACCACAGACUAUCUUAUUUAUGCCCCGUAGAUACAGGCUGCAGUUUUGUAAAGUAUGCAAAAUAGUUAUAAAUGGCUAAGUAUCUGUUUAUCUGGGAUAUGUUUAACACAACUGGACAUAUAAAAUUUUCAGUUGGGGGACGCCCACUUGGGUGGCUCAGUUGGUUAAGCGUCCAGCUUCAGCUCGGGUCGUGGU